ACCCGCUGAACUUAAGCAUAUCAAUAAGCGGAGGAAAAGAAAAUAACAAUGAUUCCCUCAGUAACGGCGAGUGAACAGGGAAAAGCUCAAAGUUGGAAUCUCCCAGUUUUAAAUUGGGCGACUUGUAAACUAAAGCUCUCAAGUAGUUCGGCUAGCCUGGUAAUCAAGUUCUCUGGAAAGGGACGACAAAGAGGGUGAAAUCCCCGUUUUUGGCCGGAGCAUAGUCUUGCGUUUGCUUGGAAGCGAAGAGUCAGGUUGUUUGGUAUUGCAGCCUAAAGUUGGAGGUAAAUCUCUCCUAAAGCUAAAUAUUGACGAAAGACCGAUAGCGAACAAGUACCGUGAGGGAAAGAUGAAAAGCACCUUGAAAAGGGGGUCAAAAAGUACGUGAAAUUGCUGAAAGGGAACCGUAUGAAAUCAGCCUGUAUCUUUAGUAAUCAGUCUGGGCUUUGGCCUGGAUGCACUUGCUAGUGAUUCAGCUUGCGACAGUUUGGUUUGGAGGAAAAAAUCAAGGAGAAUGUGGCUUUCACUUUUGGUGGAAGUGUUAUAGCUCUUUGAAAAAUACUCUGGACUGGACUGAGGACUGCAGCGAGCCUUUAGGGAUGGACUGUGGGAGCUUAUUGUUUGGUAGGAAGGAAUCUCUGCUUCGGGUGGUGCCUUUCAAUCAAGUAGUAACCCUCCCACUUUUCCUUUUUCUUGCUUAGGUCGCAAGCAUAAUGAUUUUAUAUGACCCGUCUUGAAACACGG
This 744-nucleotide ribosomal RNA is filed under the name uncultured fungus. RNAcentral describes it as "LSU rRNA". It matches the Rfam family "Eukaryotic large subunit ribosomal RNA", at positions 23 to 664 of the family's 3401-position model. Lineage: Eukaryota; Fungi. The record is from RNAcentral.